UACGGAGGGUGCAAGCGUUAAUCGGAAUUACUGGGCGUAAAGGGUGCGUAGGCGGUUGUUUAAGUCUGUUGUGAAAUCCCCGGGCUCAACCUGGGAAUGGCAAUGGAUACUGGGCAGCUAGAGUGUGUCAGAGGAUGGUGGAAUUCCCGGUGUAGCGGUGAAAUGCGUAGAGAUCGGGAGGAACAUCAGUGGCGAAGGCGGCCAUCUGGGACAACACUGACGCUGAGGCGCGAAAGCCAGGGGAGCAAACGGG
RNAcentral lists this ribosomal RNA (253 nucleotides) under uncultured bacterium. RNAcentral's name for it is "partial 16S ribosomal RNA". It matches the Rfam family "Bacterial small subunit ribosomal RNA", at positions 524 to 776 of the family's 1533-position model. The record is from RNAcentral.